RNAcentral lists this transfer RNA (55 nucleotides) under Lophiocarpus polystachyus. RNAcentral describes it as "partial tRNA-Gly". It matches the Rfam family "tRNA", at positions 1 to 55 of the family's 71-position model. Rfam says of the family: Transfer RNA (tRNA) molecules are approximately 80 nucleotides in length. Their secondary structure includes four short double-helical elements and three loops (D, anti-codon, and T loops). Lineage: Eukaryota; Viridiplantae; Streptophyta; Magnoliopsida; Caryophyllales; Lophiocarpaceae. The record is from RNAcentral.
GCGGGUAUAGUUUAGUUGUAAAACCCUAGCCUUCCAAGCUAACGAUGCGGGUUCG